CUCUUAGAUUUCUCAAGAUUUGAUAUCAUCUUAAGUAUGGAUUGUUAGAGAAAUAUAAAGUAAUUAUUAACUGCGAAAGUAAAAUUAUAAGUCUUCAUUCACCAAAAGUGAAAUAAAAUUUUAUGCAUGAGUUUUGUUUGCUAUUUCCUAACCUUUGAGUAAACAAGAACAUGGAUGUCGAUCCUGAAGUAUUUACAACCCCUAUGGUUUGUAACUUUUCGAAUGUCUUUUCAGAGGAACUGCCUGAU
Molecule: long non-coding RNA, 248 nt
Filed under: Carica papaya (papaya)
Lineage: Eukaryota; Viridiplantae; Streptophyta; Magnoliopsida; Brassicales; Caricaceae
Description: long non-coding RNA (CPAP_LNC009025)
Source: RNAcentral